This is a non-coding RNA of Halocaridina rubra (Hawaiian volcano shrimp), 75 nucleotides long. The record is from the annotation of a GenBank genome assembly. NCBI's taxonomy places the organism in Eukaryota, Metazoa, Arthropoda, Malacostraca, Decapoda, Atyidae.
UACCUUUCUGUGGUGUAGUGGUAGCACCUUGUCUUAGUAAUCAUAGGCCCUAGGUUCGAGUCCUGGGCGGGGUAA